GGGCCCGCACAAGCGGUGGAGCAUGUGGUUUAAUUCGAUGAUACGCGAGGAACCUUACCAGGGCUUAAAUGUAGUGGGACAGGUCUAGAGAUAGACCCUUCUUCGGACAUUUUUCAAGGUGCUGCAUGGUUGUCGUCAGCUCGUGCCGUGAGGUGUCAGGUUAAGUCCUAUAACGAGCGCAACCCCUACCGUUAGUUGCCAGCGUGUAAUGACGGGGACUCUAACGGGACUGCCGGUGCAAACCGCGAGGAAGGUGGGGAUGACGUCAAAUCAUCACGGCCCUUACGUCCUGGGCUACACACGUGCUACAAUGGCCGGUACAGAGGGCAGCCACACCGCAAGGUGGAGCGAAUCCUUAAAACCGGUCUCAGUUCGGAUCGGAGUCUGCAACUCGACUCCGUG
Molecule: ribosomal RNA, 402 nt
Filed under: uncultured bacterium
Lineage: Bacteria
Description: bacterial SSU rRNA
Rfam family: Bacterial small subunit ribosomal RNA
Source: RNAcentral